CACCCUGGGCCAACAGGAUGCUGCAGUCGGGACGCAAGCCUUGAGAUCCAGUCCGGGAUUGGUCCCUUACAUGCUCUGCCUUUCAGCUCUUCUUUCAAACGGAGAAGGUGGACUGCCAUCUCAAGGUCAUUAUCAACACAUUUCAAACGCCUCGAAGAUGUUGAUAAAGCCGCUCAACAUCUGUGCCCUCCUCCACAGCCGAGCGAUGCAUCUCAAGACCGAACCUUCCCACCUUAGCAUGGAACAGAAGCCUGACUUCUACCCUCAGCACCCACAGCUCUUUCCACGAAUAGAAAGAACCCAGCCAACCCCACUGGCUCUUUGAAGGUCAUCUCAGAUGGUAUGUCUAUGUGAGAUAAAUGGUUUCCUAAACAGGCUUCUCUGCAUCCUGCCGCUGGUUAUGUUUGCCCACUCAUCACUCCUGGGGCCUUGACACAAGCAACUUCCAGGAAACUCCAGAAGAGGAGAGGCCACAGUGCUGCGAUUAAGGGCACGGAGUACCCCGUGGAUGCCUGAGUUCAAACCCCAGCUCAACCACCGAAGCAGCUGCGUGAGUCACCUCUCUGAGCCCCUGUGUCCCCCGUCUACAAGGAUAAAAGCGCACCGAGCUCCCCGGACUGUCCUAAGAAAGAAACACGUUCACGCAGACAGGCCAUCUAGAAAGUAUCUGGCACGGAGCACACAUCCUACAAACAGCUCCUUUUUCACGAUACGGCUGGGCUAUCCUGUGACGUGCUGCUCUUACCACCCACACUGACAGCUGGCCAGUCCGUCCGUCCGUCUGUCACCUACUGUGUGCUUGCCUGUGCUGAGCACUGAGUAUUCCACGACGGUCCAAUUGUAUCCACACUCCUCAAUUCCUAUGCACAGCCUGACAGAUUCUACCUUUGAAAUAUCUUUCACGGUUGUCCCAUCCCAGUGGGAAGAAGAGGCAGGUGUCCACGUGCAGGUGCUCAGCCCCAUCCCGAGAUGGGCACCUGCCCCUUUUCCCUACCUGGCCUCCCUCCUGCCCCCUCCACCGCCAAUGAAAAUUACUAUCCUGCUAGAAACCUUCGCUGGCCCUCCGCCGCAUGAAAGACCAAAUCUAAAUUCCUCAGGGAGACACUCGGGGCCUUAGUGAAUCAGCCUUGGCUGUCCCUCCAGCUUCAUCUCCUUGCAUUCCACCCCACAACCCCUGUAUUCUGGUCAUGCUGACUUCUGGACCGUCCCCAAGCUCGUCACAACCUUCCCAUCACUCUCUUUACUUGCACAUGGGACCCUUUCCCAUCCUCCGCAGGGCAAGCUCUUACGUAUCCUUCAUGCCCCAGGCCUCUUGGCACCUCCUCUGGGAAGCCAUCCUUAACUGCCUCAGGAAAAACUCACUGGACUGCGAGAUUUCUAGUUGAGUUGCUGCCCUCCACAAGGCCGGAGAUCACACCAAGAAGCCUCACAGGCACUGGUGAAGCGUGGUGAAGGCGCAAGUGACCAGGCGCAAGCAUGGUGAAGGCGCAAGUGACCACGUGUCACUGUCCCACGAUGGCAAACUGAAGUCCGGAGGCAGAUGCCCGAGUCAGGGCCAGAAACUCCCCCCGAAAUACCAAUAUCCGUAUGCAUUGAAGUCCAGUUCCCUUCCAUUCUCUGCCCUAGAAAGCAAGGUCGAGGAAAGGAAGGUGCAGGUGAGCCCGCACUGGGCAAGGCGCUUCGCCUGUAGCUUCUUUUUCACACGGCCACUGCCUUGCCUCCUCUCUCGCCCCGCGUUCUGGAAUGAAUCAUGUCCCAUAAGUGGAUUUUUCAGAUGACUGAAGCCGAAACUUGUAAAAAAUCUUAACCAUUUGGAAUGGAGACGCUUCAGAAACGGACUACCCGCUUUCCCUGAACUCUUCAACUCUCCCUAUGGAAAGGGCCCCCCCGUCCUGCUGACUCACAGCAUCUCGAGCCUGGCCCGAGCCUCAGCCCAAGGACAACCUCAAGGGCCGCUGAGAGCUUCAUUACCGUCCGCCCCCCACGGAGCAGCCUCAGAUGGCUGGUCUGUCAUUCCUGAGCCGGGCUUCAUGGCCUCGUUAGCCUCUUCCUUACAGUCAGGCUCUUCACGUAAUUUUUCUAAUAAUUUGCAGACUCUGUUGCCCACUCAGGACUAAUGGACUGUCUGUGCCAUUUCUUUGGACCGGAAAAAAAUGAUAACCAAUCUUGUGAGAACAUGCAUUUAAAAAAACAACAACAGGGGCACCUGGGUGGCUCAGUCAUUAAGUGUCUGCCUCCGGCUCAGGUCAUGAUCCCAGGGUCCUGGGAUCGAGCCCCGCAUCGGGCUCCCUGCUCCGCGGGAAGCCUGCUUCUCCCUCUCCCACUCCCCCUGCUUGUGUUCCCUCUCUCUGUGUCUCUCUCUGUCAAAUAAAUAAAUAAAAUCUUUAAAAAUAAAAAAUAAAAAAUAAAAAAAUAAAAAAUAAAAAAACAACAACAAAAACUCUGAGUGGAGAAUUAUUUAGCCUUAAAAAGGAAUGACAUUCUGACACAUGCUACAACAUGAUGAACCUCGAAAACACGAUGUUAGUGAGGUAAGCCAGACACAAAAGGACAAAUACUGUGUGAUU
Molecule: long non-coding RNA, 2567 nt
Organism: Mirounga angustirostris (Northern elephant seal)
Lineage: Eukaryota; Metazoa; Chordata; Mammalia; Carnivora; Phocidae
Exons: 3
Source: RefSeq, a predicted model, not a curated record